Molecule: ribosomal RNA, 1080 nt
Filed under: Bacillus safensis
Lineage: Bacteria; Bacillati; Bacillota; Bacilli; Caryophanales; Bacillaceae
Description: bacterial SSU rRNA
Rfam family: Bacterial small subunit ribosomal RNA
Source: RNAcentral
CCGGGAAACCGGAGCUAAUACCGGAUAGUUCCUUGAACCGCAUGGUUCAAGGAUGAAAGACGGUUUCGGCUGUCACUUACAGAUGGACCCGCGGCGCAUUAGCUAGUUGGUGGGGUAAUGGCUCACCAGGCGACGAUGCGUAGCCGACCUGAGAGGGUGAUCGGCCACACUGGGACUGAGACACGGCCCAGACUCCUACGGGAGGCAGCAGUAGGGAAUCUUCCGCAAUGGACGAAAGUCUGACGGAGCAACGCGCGUGAGUGAUGAAGGUUUUCGGAUCGUAAAGCUCUGUUGUUAGGGAAGAACAAGUGCGAGAGUAACUGCUCGCACCUUGACGGUACCUAACCAGAAAGCCACGGCUAACUACGUGCCAGCAGCCGCGUAAUACGUAGGUGGCAAGCGUUGUCCGGAAUUAUUGGGCGUAAAGGGCUCGCAGGCGGUUUCUUAAGUCUGAUGUGAAAGCCCCCGGCUCAACCGGGGAGGGUCAUUGGAAACUGGGAAACUUGAGGCAGAAGAGGAGAGUGGAAUUCCACGUGUAGCGGUGAAAUGCGUAGAGAUGUGGAGGAACACCAGUGGCGAAGGCGACUCUCUGGUCUGUAACUGACGCUGAGGAGCGAAAGCGUGGGGAGCGAACAGGUUAGAUACCCUGGUAGUCCACGCCGUAAACGAUGAGUGCUAAGUGUUAGGGGGUUUCCGCCCCUUAGUGCUGCAGCUAACGCAUAAGCACUCCGCCUGGGGAGUACGGUCGCAAGACUGAAACUCAAGGAAUUGACGGGGGCCCGCACAAGCGGUGGAGCAUGUGGUUUAAUUCGAAGCAACGCGAAGAACCUUACCAGGUCUUGACAUCCUCUGACAACCCUAGAGAUAGGGCUUUCCCUUCGGGGACAGAGUACAGGUGGUGCAUGGUUGUCGUCAGCUCGUGUCGUGAGAUGUUGGGUUAAGUCCCGCAACGAGCGCAACCCUUGAUCUUAGUUGCCAGCAUUCAGUUGGGCACUCUAAGGUGACUGCCGGUGACAAACGGAGGAAGGUGGGGAUGACGUCAAAUCAUCAUGCCCCUUAUGACCUGGGCUACACACGUGC